CGGGGGAACUAAGCAUAUCAAUAAGCGGAGGAAAAGAAACUAACAAGGAUUCCCCUAGUAACUGCGAGUGAAGCGGGAAAAGCUCAAAUUUAAAAUCUGGUGGCCUUUGGUCAUCCGAGUUGUAAUUUAGAGAAGCGUCUUCCGCGCUGGACCGUGCACAAGUCUCCUGGAAUGGAGCGUCGUAGAGGGUGAGAAUCCCGUCUUUGGCACGGACGCCCAGUGCUUCUGUGAUGCGCUCUCGAAGAGUCGAGUUGUUUGGGAAUGCAGCUCAAAAUGGGUGGUGAACUCCAUCUAAAGCUAAAUAUUGGCGAGAGACCGAUAGCGAACAAGUACCGUGAGGGAAAGAUGAAAAGCACUUUGGAAAGAGAGUGAAACAGUACGUGAAAUUGUUGAAAGGGAAACGCUUGAAGUCAGUCGCGUCGUCCGAGACUCAGCCUCGCCUCGGCUUGGUGUACUUCUCGGCCGACGGGUCAGCAUCAAUUUUGCCCCUUGGAUAAUGGCGAGGGAAAUGUGACACCUUUACGGGUGUGUUAUAGUCUCUUGUCGCAUGCAAGGGUCGGGAUUGAGGAACUCAGCACGCGCCUUYGGGCGUCGGGGUUUUGCCCACGAUACGUGCUUAGGAUGUUGGCGUAAUGGCUUUAAACGACCCGUCUUGAAACACGGACCAAGGAGUCUAACAUGCCCGCGAGUGUUCGGGUGGAAAACCCGUGCGCGCAAUGAAAGUGAAAGUUGGGACCUCUGUCGUGGAGGGCACCAACGCCCGGACCAGACCUUCUGUGACGGAUCUGCGGUAGAGCGUGUAUGUUAGGACCCGAAAGAUGGUGAACUAUGCCUGAAUAGGGUGAAGCCAGAGGAAACUCUGGUGGAGGCUCGUAGCGAUUCUGACGUGCAAAUCGAUCGUCAAAUUUGGGUAUAGGGGCGAAAGACUAAUCGAACCAUCUAGUAGCUGUU
RNAcentral lists this ribosomal RNA (951 nucleotides) under Russula sp. RNAcentral's name for it is "partial 28S large subunit ribosomal RNA". It matches the Rfam family "Eukaryotic large subunit ribosomal RNA", at positions 26 to 955 of the family's 3401-position model. The record is from RNAcentral. Lineage: Eukaryota; Fungi; Basidiomycota; Agaricomycetes; Russulales; Russulaceae.